RNAcentral lists this long non-coding RNA (1500 nucleotides) under Glycine max (soybean). RNAcentral's name for it is "long non-coding RNA (GMAX_LNC002809)". The record is from RNAcentral. Lineage: Eukaryota; Viridiplantae; Streptophyta; Magnoliopsida; Fabales; Fabaceae.
GGAAAUAGUGUUGAAUGUUGUGUAAUUGGAAUCUUUGUGGGCAGGACAAUAGGGUGCUCAACACCACUGAGUGGUUAAUAGCUUUUGCGAUGCUUGUUGAGGCUUAUUCAUCGUAGCGGUUAAUAGCUUUUGCUCUCCAUUCAUCCUGUUGAAGGUUUCAGAACCUGCAUUCCUACUAAGCUUUUCUAGUCCAGCAGCAUUCAGAUUGAUGCAUGUAGUUUAGAUCAAUAUCCCUCUUCAUGCUUUGCUUUUGAAAUGCACCAGAUUGGUGUGAAGUUAUGUCCAUGCUACUACUAGGAUACUGAGAAGAAACAACCUUUUUGGGAAAAUCAUAUACUUGGGAAUUUGAACUCUAGGAUGCCCAGAUGCGAGAAGCUUCUUCAUCCUGAUGUAGGAUAUUCUUGUGUAAGCUACAUCCUGCAGAGGCUUCAUAAGUACCAUUAGGAGAUCCACGCUCUUGAUAAGCCCCGUUCAACCUGAAACUUCGAGCACUACGAAGCUGAAAACCAAUAGGUGAAAACUGGAAUCCACUUGAUGGCUUCUUUUGGGACUGGUAAACUUCAAUUCCAAAAGGGGAUUGAGGUAGACAGAUACUAUUCAUGCCCAAAUUGUUUCCAUCAAAUGGAACACGUAAAAUGUGGAUAAGAUGACUUAGAUAAGUUUUUGAUAAUUAGGUUCUGAAGCUAUGUUGUUCUUCUUCCUUGUUGAAGGCAAUUAAUUCUUGUAUAAUUUGGUUCAGAUAUGAUGACUGCAGUUCGGGUUCCAACUUGCAUCCACCUAGUAGAUCAUUGCUCUCUUUUGAAACCUUCUUAAUUGGCUUCCCUGUUAAGUUAGAUCAUGUCAAUGCAUAUUCAAAUGCUGUAGUUAACUCUGAAUUCCUCUAGUAAUUUAAUUCAGAACAUAAUGGUUUCACUUAUGAUUGACUAUGUUCAUUACUCACGUCUUAUUGUGUUAGGGACUAUUUUUGUUUAGAUUUGUUGUUGUUGUUAUUAGUAUAUGUCAUUAGCAUCUGUUUUAGAAUGUUAUAAGAGGAGUCUGGUUCAGUAGUUGGUUGAAAACUGGUAGAGAUCUGUCCACACAACAUGUGAGAAUUGGUAUAUGUCUUGAGAGUUGUAGCACUUGAGUUCAAGAUCUAGGCUGUGCAUUAUUGGAUAUGCUGGAUUUAAAAAAGGAAUUAUGUUAGUUUUCCAAUUCUUUUCUAUUAUGUGAAACGCUUGGGGAUAUUUUUUUUGACUUUUCAAUGCUGCAUUUUUGUAAUAUCAUAUAUCAUAUACAAUUCUGUGUUCCUAUUUAUAAAGAUAUUUUGGGUGCAAUUUUGAUGGCCAUUUAAGAAAUAUUCAAAGUUCAAACUAAAUUUUUCCCUCCUUGUAUAGUAGAAAUACUUUUUGGCCUUCUAAAUUUUAUUGAUUUGAUGUUGCGGGUGUAAAAGUUUUCUAUGGUCUGUCAUGAUUGCAGUUCUUAUGGGCACUGUUGUUGUUUGCAGUUAAAUGCUGAUAAAAG